CCUGUAUCCGAACGCAUUCGCCUUAUCUGCAAUGUUUAUCAUGAUAUAGCAAGGGUGAGCAUGAAAAUUGCCCAGCAAGUUUAAAUACAACAAUAUAAGGAUAUAUCAUUAUUGAAGAGUAUGAAUAAUAAGCUGGCUAUAAUUCAUCAAUAUAAUUGAGAACUAGCAGGAACAAACUUUUGACUGAACAAGUUUUAAACAUGAACAAACAUUUCUGAACAAACUGGUAAUGAAGGUGAUCAGCCUUUCAUACCUGACUUAUACAUGCAAGAUGUACAGAGUACAAUUUUCAUGGCAAUCAGCAAUGAUUNNNN
Molecule: long non-coding RNA, 314 nt
Filed under: Panax ginseng (ginseng)
Lineage: Eukaryota; Viridiplantae; Streptophyta; Magnoliopsida; Apiales; Araliaceae
Description: long non-coding RNA (PGIN_LNC012442)
Source: RNAcentral